Molecule: ribosomal RNA, 499 nt
Filed under: uncultured bacterium
Lineage: Bacteria
Description: partial 16S ribosomal RNA
Rfam family: Bacterial small subunit ribosomal RNA
Source: RNAcentral
GAUGAACGCUGGCGGCGUGCCUAAUACAUGCAAGUCGAGCGAACAGACGAGAGUGCUUGCACUCUCUGACGUUAGCGGCGGACGGGUGAGUCACACGUGGGUAACCUACCUAUAAGACUGGGAUAACUUCGGGAAACCGGAGCUAAUACCGGAUAAUAUUUAGCUUCGCAUGAAGCAAUAGUGAAAGACGGUUCUGCUGUCACUUAUAGAUGGACCCGCGGUGUAUUAGCUAGUUGGUGAGGUAACGGCUCACCAAGGCAACGAUACAUAGCCGACCUGAGAGGGUGAUCGGCCACACUGGGACUGAGACACGGCCCAGACUCCUACGGGAGGCAGCAGUAGGGAAUCUUCCGCAAUGGACGAAAGUCUGACAGAGCAAUGCCGCGUGAGUGAAGAAGGUUUUCGGAUCGUAAAACUCUGUUGUAAGGGAAGAACAAGUACGUUAGUAACUGAACGUACCUUGACGGUACCUUACCAGAAAGCCACGGCUAACUACGUG